This 2538-nucleotide unclassified non-coding RNA is filed under the name Rhopalosiphum maidis (corn leaf aphid). RNAcentral's name for it is "protein Malvolio, transcript variant X4". Lineage: Eukaryota; Metazoa; Arthropoda; Insecta; Hemiptera; Aphididae. The record is from RNAcentral.
ACACACAAUGAUAGAAAUAAGAGUAAAUUCAAAAAAAAAAAAAUCACGACGUACACUGUACAGAGGGCAUUAAGCCAAAGCCAUACCUCUGUGCGUGCGAUACUGUAGGUAGUAUACUACGAUACGACAUUAAAUUUGUGCGGUGGUGGUGUGGCACCGAAUGACGGCAAUAAAGUGAAUUUAAUUAGUAUAACCCACAAUGGAUGAGUCACAUCCUGGGCCGACUGAAACCACGGGCCUGUCAAGGAAAGUUGAAAAAGAAGAGAAAGUUCAUAUCCCUGAAUCGAGCACGACUGGAUUUAGUUUUCGAAAACUAUGGGCAUUUACAGGUCCUGGAUUUUUAAUGAGUAUCGCCUACCUUGAUCCAGGCAAUAUAGAAUCAGACUUACAGUCUGGAACGACUGCCAGGUACAAGUUAUUAUGGGUGUUAAUGAGUGCUACCAUUUUGGGUUUGGUAAUGCAACGUCUGUCAGCUCGCCUCGGUGUGGUUACCGGUCUUCAUUUAGCCGACAUGUGUUAUCGCCAGUACCGAAAAGCUCCAAGACUAUUUGUUUGGCUAAUGAUGGAAGUUGCUAUCAUUGGUUCAGAUAUGCAAGAAGUCAUUGGUACUUCAAUUGCAAUUUAUUUACUGAGUAACAAAAUGAUACCACUUUGGAUAGGAGUGCUGAUCACUGUCAUUGAUACUUUAUCUUUUUUGAUGCUGGACAAGUAUGGACUUCGAAAGUUGGAGCUAGUGUUUGGUCUAUUCAUUGUUAUAAUGGCAUUGUCAUUUGGAUAUGAGUUUGCAAUUGUUCAACCCGAUAUAAAAGAUAUGGCUAAAGGAUUAGUUACUCCUUGGUGUUCAAACUGUCAAGAAUCUGCUCUUCUUCAGGCUGUCGGAAUUAUAGGAGCAAUCAUAAUGCCACAUAAUUUAUACUUACAUUCAGGCCUCGUUAAGUCUAGGGAAGUUGACAGAACCAAAAAAGACAAAUUACGAGAAGCCAACUAUUAUUUUUUUAUUGAAUCUACUAUUGCAUUAUUCGUAUCAUUUGUGAUCAACGUGUGUGUUGUAUCAGUUUUUGCUCACGGAUUAUAUGAUAAGACAAAUAGUGAUGUGUUGGAGAUCUGUACCAAAAACAAUAAUACAUACUCAGAUAUUUUCACAAAUGAUACCGAAUUAGUUGAAGUUGAUAUAUAUAAAGGCGGAGUAUUCCUUGGUUGUCAAUUUGGCAUAGGUGCCAUGUAUAUUUGGGCUAUUGGUAUUUUAGCUGCUGGUCAAAGUAGUACAAUGACUGGAUGUUAUGCUGGUCAAUUUGUAAUGGAAGGUUUUUUAAAUCUUCAAUGGAGCCGAUGGAAAAGAGUUGGGUUUACUCGACUGGUUGCUAUAGCACCCACAUUUUACGUGGCAUUUUUUAGUAAUAUUAAUGACCUGACUGGUAUGAAUGAUCUAUUAAAUGCAGUUAUGAGCUUACAACUACCAUUUGCUACACUUCCAGUAAUUGCAUUCACUAGUAAUCCUCGCAUCAUGGGAGAAUUUACCAAUGGAUUGGGAAACAUUUUAAUAACAAUUAUUUUGUCUGCUAUUAUAAUAAGUAUAAACAUAUAUUUUGUAAUCCAUCACACAAUUACUAAUUUCACUUAUAAUUUGCCUUUAAUAAUUGGAGUUAUGGUAUAUAGUACAAUUUAUUUAUUAAUGUGUGCUUAUCUCACACUACAUCUUGUGAUCAGUAUGCUGGAUGAUUGUAGUGUGCUACGUAGAAAUCCAUUUGUUAUUCGAUUUAUUGGUCCACAAAUUGGAAACACUUUUUCUCAACAUCAACAAACAAAUUCACCUCCAAGCAGCCAAGAUGACAUAACAAAUAUCAAGCUAUAAUAAUGAAUAUGAUGAAAUGUUGUUGCAUGUGUCAAAAGGAUUGCACUUAACACCAUACAACUAGCAAAUUAAAUGAGAAACACAUUGUGGGCAACAUUAUCUAGUUACUAUUAUUGUUAUAUACAUCUGAUGGAAAAAAUAGUGACUAUCUAUUCUAGAUUUUUGUUUGCUGUAAACAAUAUUAUAUAAUAUUUAAUUAUUAUUAAUUUAUUUUCAAAUUGCCUAUAUUUCUAUUUUUAAUUAUUAUACAUUUUAAAGAGAAAAUAUUUUUUUCUUUAUUAUUUAUCUUAAUUAAUAAUACAAAUGAAAUCUAAUCAAAUGACUAUCGAAUAGUAUAUACAGAUUAAAAUAAUCUAAAAUUAUUAUUGUACGUACAUGUAUACAAUUGAAACUAAAUAGUGAUAUAAAUCAUCAUUGAUAAUAUAUAUAUAAGUGUGUGCGUGUAAAAUGUUUCUAAAUUUAAACGAAACUUGUUAAAUGUAUUAACAACUGUCAUUGUUUAUCAUUUUUAAAAUUUUUUUUUCUAAAUAUGUAUUUAUUACAAAGUGUAUAUUUAUUUUAUUUUAUACAAUAAUAAUCAUAAGGUUAUUCAAACUUAGACAAACCUUUAUAAUUAAACAUUAACUUUUCUUUAAGUAAAUAGUUUUCAUAAUAAUUAUUAAUUAUUUUCAUCUUACGUGUAUUCA